Molecule: long non-coding RNA, 392 nt
Filed under: Elaeis guineensis (African oil palm)
Lineage: Eukaryota; Viridiplantae; Streptophyta; Magnoliopsida; Arecales; Arecaceae
Description: long non-coding RNA (EGUI_LNC016363)
Source: RNAcentral
CGUAUACCAUAUUAAGAAAAGCAAAAACAAAAAAGAAAAAGGAAGCCACGUGCAUCCGGACCUCCACGGGCUCCACUCACCUCCAUCUUCAUCCCCAACAAAAUCCUAGAUCUAAUCUCCAUGUCAUUGAUCUCUCUAUUUCUCUUGUAUUGUUAUUUUUCAGCUCCGAUGUCCACCUCUUCUUCUAUUUUAUAUGCGAUCAAUAUUCUUUCGAGCCAUUUUCUUCAUCUAAUCCCAAAUGGAUCUAUCAAAAUUAUAGGCCAACUCUCAUCUACUGAUGUUCUCAGAUCUAUAUUGUAUCGCUAGCUUCUUUUUAAAUUUUUUCUAAAUUUUUCAUAUGUUGUUAUUCUUCCCUCCAGAUCUCCUGGUAGUGUUGCUCAAGUGCCAAUCUG